This 497-nucleotide ribosomal RNA is filed under the name uncultured bacterium. RNAcentral describes it as "partial 16S ribosomal RNA". It matches the Rfam family "Bacterial small subunit ribosomal RNA", at positions 28 to 507 of the family's 1533-position model. The record is from RNAcentral.
GAUGAACGCUGGCGGCGUGCCUAAUACAUGCAAGUCGAACGCUGAAGCGAGGAGCUUGCUCUUCUUGCAUUAGUGGCGGACGGGUGAGUAACGCGUGGAUAACCUGCCUUUUAGCGGGGGAUAACUACGGGAAACGAGAGCUAAUACCGCAUAACAAUUUAUGACACAUGGCUCUUUAGUGAAAGAGGCAUUUGCUGUACUAUAUGAAGGGCCUGCGUUGUCUUAGCCAGUAGGUUAGGUAACGGCUCUCCUAGGCGACGAUACAUAGCCGACCUGAGAGGGUGGUCGGCCACACUGGGACUGGGACACGGCCCAGACUCCUACGGGAGGCAGCAGUAGGGGAUCUUCGGCAAUGGGGGCAACCCUGACCGGGCCACGCCGCGUGAGUGAAGAAGGGUUUCGGAUCGUAAAGCUCUGUUGUAAGUCAAGAACGAGUGUGAGAGUGGAAAGUUCACACUGUGACGGUAGCUUACCAGAAAGGGACGGCUAACUACGUG